CCCGCAUGGAAUCAUUCCCGUGACAAGGCGACGGCGGAACGAGGAAGCCGGUGUGAAUCCGGCGCGGUCCCGCCACUGUGAUCGGCGAGCCGGUCCCAACAGGCCACUGCCCGACAGCGGGUGGGAAGGCCGGGGCAGGCGUUGACCCGAGAGCCAGGAGACUCACGCGGUCGCCUCCUCGACG
Molecule: non-coding RNA, 184 nt
Filed under: Streptomyces oceani
Lineage: Bacteria; Bacillati; Actinomycetota; Actinomycetes; Kitasatosporales; Streptomycetaceae
Source: RNAcentral